Molecule: ribosomal RNA, 490 nt
Filed under: uncultured bacterium
Lineage: Bacteria
Description: partial 16S ribosomal RNA
Rfam family: Bacterial small subunit ribosomal RNA
Source: RNAcentral
AUUGAACGCUGGCGGCAGGCCUAACACAUGCGAGUCGAACGGUAACAGGAAGCAGCUUGCUGCUUCGCUGACGAGUGGCGGACGGGUGAGUAAUGUCUGGGAAGCUGCCUGAUGGAGGGGGAUAACUACUGGAAACGGUAGCUAAUACCGCAUAAUGUCGCAAGACCAAAGAGGGGGACCUUCGGGCCUCUUGCCAUCGGAUGUGCCCAGAUGGGAUUAGCUUGUUGGUGGGGUAACGGCUCACCAAGGCGACGAUCCCUAGCUGGUCUGAGAGGAUGACCAGCCACACUGGAUCUGAGACACGGUCCAGACUCCUACGGGAGGCAGCAGUGGGGAAUAUUGCACAAUGGGCGCAAGCCUGAUGCAGCCAUGCCGCGUGUAUGAAGAAGGCCUUCGGGUUGUAAAGUACUUUCAGCGGGGAGGAAGGGAGUAAAGUUAAUACCUUUGCUCAUUGACGUUACCCGCAGAAGAAGCACCGGCUAACUCCGUG